UGACGGUACCUGCAGAAGAAGCGCCGGCUAACUACGUGCCAGCAGCCGCGGUAAUACGUAGGGCGCAAGCGUUGUCCGGAAUUAUUGGGCGUAAAGAGCUCGUAGGCGGCUUGUCGCGUCUGCCGUGAAAGUCCGGGGCUUAACUCCGGAUCUGCGGUGGGUACGGGCAGGCUAGAGUGCGGUAGGGGUGACUGGAAUUCCUGGUGUAGCGGUGGAAUGCGCAGAUAUCAGGAGGAACACCGAUGGCGAAGGCAGGUCACUGGGCCGCAACUGACGCUGAGGAGCGAAAGCAUGGGGAGCGAACAGGAUUAGAUACCCUGGUAGUCCAUGCCGUAAACGUUGGGCACUAGGUGUGGGGGACAUUCCAAGUUUUCCGCGCCGUAGCUAACGCAUUAAGUGCCCCGCCUGGGGAGUACGGCCGCAAGGCUAAAACUCAAAAGGAAUUGACGGGGGCCCGCACAAGCGGCGGAGCAUGCGGAUUAAUUCGAUGCAACGCGAAGAACCUUACCAAGGCUUGACAUACACCGGAAACUCUUAGAGAUAAGAGCCUCUUCGGACUGGUGUACAGGUGGUGCAUGGUUGUCGUCAGCUCGUGUCGUGAGAUGUUGGGUUAAGUCCCGCAACGAGCGCAACCCCUGUCCUAUGUUGCCAGCACGUUAUGGUGGGGACUCAUGGGAGACUGCCGGGGUCAACUCGGAGGAAGGUGGGGAUGACGUCAAAUCAUCAUGCCCCUUAUGUCUUGGGCUUCACGCAUGCUACAAUGGCCGGUACAAAGGGCUGCGAUCCCGCGAGGGUGAGCGAAUCCCAAAAAGCCGGUCUCAGUUCGGAUUGGGGUCUGCAACUCGACCCCAUGAAGUCGGAGUCGCUAGUAAUCGCAGAUCAGCAACGCUGCGGUGAAUACGUUCCCGGGCCUUGUACUCAAAGCCCGUCAAG
Molecule: ribosomal RNA, 933 nt
Filed under: uncultured bacterium
Lineage: Bacteria
Description: bacterial SSU rRNA
Rfam family: Bacterial small subunit ribosomal RNA
Source: RNAcentral